AGAGUUUGAUCAUGGCUCAGGAUGAACGCUGGUGGCGUGCUUAACACAUGCAAGUCGAACGAUCCUUCGGGAUAGUGGCGGACGGGUGAGUAACGCGUGGGAAUCUGCCCUUAGGAGGGGGAUAACGGCUGGAAACGGCCGCUAAUACCCCAUAUGCCGAGAGGUGAAACGAAUUUCGCCUGAGGAUGAGCCCGCGUCUGAUUAGCUAGUUGGUGGGGUAAAGGCCUACCAAGGCGACGAUCAGUAGCUGGUCUGAGAGGAUGAUCAGCCACACUGGGACUGAGACACGGCCCAGGCUCCUACGGGAGGCAGCAGUGGGGAAUUUUCCGCAAUGGGCGAAAGCCUGACGGAGCAACGCCGCGUGAGGGAUGAAGGCCUCUGGGCUGUAAACCUCUUUUCUCAAGGAAGAAGAACUGACGGUACUUGAGGAAUAAGCCACGGCUAAUUCCGUGCCAGCAGCCGCGGUAAUACGGGAGUGGCAAGCGUUAUCCGGAAUUAUUGGGCGUAAAGCGUCCGCAGGCGGCCUUGUAAGUCUGUUGUUAAAGCGUGGAGCUCAACUCCAUUUAAGCAAUGGAAACUACAAGGCUGGAGUGUGGUAGGGGCAGAGGGAAUUCCCGGUGUAGCGGUGAAAUGCGUAGAUAUCGGGAAGAACACCAGUGGCGAAGGCGCUCUGCUGGGCCAUAACUGACGCUCAUGGACGAAAGCCAGGGGAGCGAAAGGGAUUAGAUACCCCUGUAGUCCUGGCCGUAAACGAUGAACACUAGGUGUCGGGGGAAUCGACCCCCUCGGUGUCGUAGCCAACGCGUUAAGUGUUCCGCCUGGGGAGUACGCACGCAAGUGUGAAACUCAAAGGAAUUGACGGGGGCCCGCACAAGCGGUGGAGUAUGUGGUUUAAUUCAAUGCAACGCGAAGAACCUUACCAGGGUUUGACAUCCUGCGAAUCCCUUGGAAACGAGGGAGUGCCUUCGGGAGCGCAGUGACAGGUGGUGCAUGGCUGUCGUCAGCUCGUGUCGUGAGAUGUUGGGUUAAGUCCCGCAACGAGCGCAACCCACGUCUUUAGUGGCCAGCAUUCAGUUGGGCACUCUAGAGAGACCGCCGGUGAUAAACCGGAGGAAGGUGUGGAUGACGUCAAGUCAUCAUGCCCCUUACAUCCUGGGCUACACACGUACUACAAUGCUACGGACAAAGGGCAGCAAGCUCGCGAGAGUUAGCAAAUCCCAUAAACCGUGGCUCAGUUCAGAUCGUAGGCUGCAACUCGCCUACGUGAAGGAGGAAUCGCUAGUAAUCGCAGGUCAGCAUACUGCGGUGAAUACGUUCCCGGGCCUUGUACACACCGCCCGUCACACCAUGGAAGUUGGCCAUGCCCGAAGUCGUUACUCCAACCCUUGUGGAGGAGGACGCCGAAGGUGGGGCUGAUGACUGGGGUGAAGUCGUAACAAGGUA
Molecule: ribosomal RNA, 1443 nt
Filed under: metagenome
Description: bacterial SSU rRNA
Rfam family: Bacterial small subunit ribosomal RNA
Source: RNAcentral